AGAGGGCAAACAGUCAUGCUUCACAGGGUGAAGAUUCUGGCCUUCGGAUGUUGCAGACGAAAAGGGUCUUUCUGGAAUAUUGGAGACAGCUGUGCAAUGAUACAGCAAAAAAGGAACUGGUGAACAAGGACUUGACCUUUGCAAAUCUUCAGGUUUUUUUGAACAGGGCGCCACAAAAGAUAAAAGGAUGAUUUCAAAAUAACUCAAACCUGUCAAUCAAAAACUUCAAGGCUUCAAAGCAACAAGCUAAGGAUAGAUAUGAACUGCCAACAUAGACACAACGGGUACCUGCCUAGCUUUGAUAAACAGAACCAACUUUUAAUGGUAUUGUGCUGAAGUUCCCAAGAAAUGCACUAACUGGUAAUCUUCACAAUGUAUCUUUUCUCCAUGUUGGCACUGUUGCGCUCUCCUCAACUCUUUUGAGUUG
This is a long non-coding RNA of Carcharodon carcharias (great white shark), 427 nucleotides long. RefSeq lists it as uncharacterized. The record is from RefSeq and is a predicted model, not a curated record. NCBI's taxonomy places the organism in Eukaryota, Metazoa, Chordata, Chondrichthyes, Lamniformes, Lamnidae. The transcript has 3 exons.